GGCACUUUGGCGGAGUGGUUAACGCGCCAGCCUGCUAUAGUAAUUCACAUACUUGGUCAGCUGGUUCCUUCGGGAGCGUGAGUUCGAAUCUCACAGGUGUCG
Molecule: non-coding RNA, 102 nt
Organism: Aaosphaeria arxii CBS 175.79
Lineage: Eukaryota; Fungi; Ascomycota; Dothideomycetes; Pleosporales
Source: the annotation of a RefSeq genome assembly